Molecule: small nucleolar RNA, 406 nt
Organism: Neoarius graeffei (lesser salmon catfish)
Lineage: Eukaryota; Metazoa; Chordata; Actinopteri; Siluriformes; Ariidae
Product: small nucleolar RNA snR37
Exons: 1
Source: RefSeq, a predicted model, not a curated record
UCCAUCAUGAAAUGCAUUUCGUCCACAGAAUGCAAUAUGGUAGAUCAUGAAAUGAAUUUCGUCAAUCACAGAAUGCAUUUCGUCCAUCACGAAAUGCAUUUCGUCCAUCACGAAAUGAAUUUCGUCCAUCACAAAAUGCAUUUUGUGCACAGAAUGCAGUAUGGUAGAUCACGAAAUGCAUUUCGUCCAUCACAGAAUGCAUUUCGUCCAUCACAAAAUGCAUUUCGUUGGACGAAAUGCAUUUCGUGAUGGACGAAAUGCAUUUCGUCUGACGAAAUGCAUUUUGUGAUGGACGAAAUGCAUUUCUUCCGACGAAAUGCAUUUUGUGAUGGACGAAAUGCAUUCUGUGAUGGACGAAAUGCAUUUCGUGAUCUAUCAUAAUGCAUUCGUCCGGCGAAAUGCAUUU